GCGAGCGUUAAUCGGAAUUACUGGGCGUAAAGCGCGCGUAGGSGGUUUGUUAAGUCAGCUGUGAAAGCCCCGGGCUCAACCUGGGAACUGCAGUYSAUACUGGCCGACUAGAGUACGAGAGAGGGAGGUAGAAUUCCAUGUGUAGCGGUGAAAUGCGUAGAUAUAUGGAGGAAUACCAGUGGCGAAGGCGGCCUCCUGGCUCGAUACUGACGCUGAGGUGCGAAAGCGUGGGGAKCAAACAGGAUUAGAUACCCUGGUAGUCCACGCCGUAAACGAUGUCUACUAGCCGUUGGGGGACUUGAUUUCUUAGUGGCGCACUAACGCAAUAAGUAGACCGCCUGGGGAGUACGGCCGCAAGGUUAAAACUCAAAUGAAUU
Molecule: ribosomal RNA, 377 nt
Filed under: uncultured bacterium
Lineage: Bacteria
Description: bacterial SSU rRNA
Rfam family: Bacterial small subunit ribosomal RNA
Source: RNAcentral